GACGAACGCUGGCGGCGUGCCUAAUACAUGCAAGUAGAACGCACAGUUUAUACCGUAGCUUGCUACACCAUACACUGUGAGUUGCGAACGGGUGAGUAACGCGUAGGUAACCUGCCUGGUAGCGGGGGAUAACUAUUGGAAACGAUAGCUAAUACCGCAUAAUAUUAAUUAUUGCAUGAUAAUUGAUUGAAAGAUGCAAUUGCAUCACUACCAGAUGGACCUGCGUUGUAUUAGCUAGUAGGUGAGGUAACGGCUCACCUAGGCGACGAUACAUAGCCGACCUGAGAGGGUGAUCGGCCACACUGGGACUGAGACACAGCCCAGACUCCUACGGGAGGCAGCAGUAGGGAAUCUUCGGCAAUGGACGAAAGUCUGACCGAGCAACGCCGCGUGAGUGAAGAAGGUUGUCGGAUCGUAAAGCUCUGUUGUAAGAGAAGAACGGGUGUGAGAGUGGAAAGUUCACACUGUGACGGUAGCUUACCAGAAAGGGACGGCUAACUACGUG
Molecule: ribosomal RNA, 505 nt
Filed under: uncultured bacterium
Lineage: Bacteria
Description: partial 16S ribosomal RNA
Rfam family: Bacterial small subunit ribosomal RNA
Source: RNAcentral